This 1457-nucleotide long non-coding RNA is filed under the name Cucumis sativus (cucumber). RNAcentral describes it as "long non-coding RNA (CSAT_LNC002533)". The record is from RNAcentral. Lineage: Eukaryota; Viridiplantae; Streptophyta; Magnoliopsida; Cucurbitales; Cucurbitaceae.
UUGAAAUCGAGAAUUGGGAUUGCGGAUUAAAUUAAGAACUUGAUUGAAAUCAAUGGAUUUUUGGAAGAUGAUGAAGUCAAUGAGAGUCAAGCUUUUGUAUGAAAUGACAAUUCACGAGGAUGCUUUCUAAUCAGUACUAUCUCUACUCAUUAUUCACCGUUGAAUCCCCUUUUUUACUUUUCGAAAUAUUUGUAAUUCAUCUUUAAACAUUAAUUAAUUAAUUAAUAUUAUGUACUGAUGUUUCUAAAAAUAAAAAUUUAAAAAAAUCUUUAUUAUUACAUAUUCUUUACAAUUUUAUCAUUCAAAACAAAUAUAAUUUCUCAACUACUUUAGAUUUCAAAAUGCUUCAACCUUGUUUUUCAACUUUUUAAAAAUGUUAAUCACUGGAAUUGUUAUCAAUAGCCAGAAAAAAAAUUGAAAAAUUGAGAGUUUGAUGAAUUUUGUUGUAAUUUAUUAAAUUAAAAUCAUCAAGCAAUAAAAUCUAGUGGCCAAGAGGGUAAUUUUCUUCUUCUUAUUAUUAUUAUAUUUUUUAGAAAAAUUUGAAGUUCCGUACAAAAGAUUGUGGAAGAAUAAAAAUGGUGUGUAGCUUAAUUAACAUAUAGUUCUUAAUGUCACGGUUUGAAAUAAUAAAACAUAGAAAUUGCAACAUUUUAAGAUCAUUCAAAAUUUACUUUUUCCUUUCAUUUUUUUUAAUCCUGCCUUCAUUUUUCUAAAGUUAAAUAAUUAAUUUACAAGAAUCUUGGGUAAAUGUUUAUUUAUCUCAAAACUUCCAAAAAAUUUAAAUUGGAAAUUUAAACUUUUUUUUCUUUAAAGUUAGUUCUAAGGUGCAUUUUAAAUUAUAGUAAAAUUUCUUAUCCAAACACCCAAACACCAAAACACCAAAUUUUUGCUAUAUUUUGUAAUUAUUUUUUUUUAAUAUUUGAAUAGAUAUUAAGGGUGUGAAAAAACAUAAUAGAAUGGACUUUUCCAAGAAAAAUAAAUAAAAGUUUAAGUUGCCUUUUAUUUAUUUCUAAUUUUAGGAAAUUGGAAAAAAAAAAUCAAACAUGUUUAGUAAACUUUUCGGUUUCCAUUUUUUUUUUUUCAAAUAAAAGUGAAAUACGUUUAGAUUUACGUCUUUUUCUAGUAGUAGAAUUUCAAAUCAUUUCUAAAAAUAUAUAUAUAAUUUACUAUCUAGCAAUAAACAAACUACCGAGAAUUUUAUAUUUAUAAGAAAGUGUAGUGCUUAAAUCUGGCUGUAAUCUAAACAUUACCUUCUAUCUUCAUUUUUGAAUUUUGAAGAUUUCCUCUCCAAGAACUGUGACCCUAUUCCCCUCCAUGAAUUUUCAGGCCAAUAGGGUUGAUUCAACUGGGAAAUGCAUUCUCCGUAAAGUUAAACCCAUAUUUUUACACUAUAUCAACGGUGCCAGUAGCAAAUACAGAUCUUUUCAAGAACAAAAUAUUCCAAUGGGCUAAUACUU